Molecule: ribosomal RNA, 429 nt
Filed under: Acidobacteriota bacterium
Lineage: Bacteria; Pseudomonadati; Acidobacteriota
Description: Acidobacteria bacterium partial 16S ribosomal RNA
Rfam family: Bacterial small subunit ribosomal RNA
Source: RNAcentral
UGGGGAAUUUUGGACAAUGGGGGAAACCCUGAUCCAGCCAUCCCGCGUGUGCGAUGAAGGCCUUCGGGUUGUAAAGCACUUUUGGCAGGAAAGAAACGUCAUGGGUUAAUACCCCGUGAAACUGACGGUACCUGCAGAAUAAGCACCGGCUAACUACGUGCCAGCAGCCGCGGUAAUACGUAGGGUGCAAGCGUUAAUCGGAAUUACUGGGCGUAAAGCGUGCGCAGGCGGUUCGGAAAGAAAGAUGUGAAAUCCCAGAGCUCAACUUUGGAACUGCAUUUUUAACUACCGGGCUAGGGUGGGUCAGAGGGAGGUGGAAUUCCGCGUGUAGCAGUGAAAUGCGUAGAUAUGCGGAGGAACACCGAUGGCGAAGGCAGCCUCCUGGGAUAACACAGACGCUCAUGCACGAAAGCGUGGGGAGCAAACAGG